This 22-nucleotide non-coding RNA is filed under the name Rattus norvegicus (Norway rat). The record is from RNAcentral. Lineage: Eukaryota; Metazoa; Chordata; Mammalia; Rodentia; Muridae.
UGAUAGGUAAGUUUUGACUGAG